Non-coding RNA from Podarcis lilfordi (Lilford's wall lizard), 400 nucleotides. NCBI's taxonomy places the organism in Eukaryota, Metazoa, Chordata, Lepidosauria, Squamata, Lacertidae. The record is from the annotation of a GenBank genome assembly.
AAUCACCCCAGGCCUCAAAACUGUCCAAAACUCCUUUUGUCUUCUAAAAAAUCCAAAACAGCUUUUCUCUGCUCUUCUCUGCUUUUCUCACAAGAUGCUGUGGCAAAAGGCAAAAUGUUACUUUUAAAGGCUAAUGAAUAGGCUCUGUUCAUAGCAGGCCUGAGAAACUGAAUCUUAUCUCAUUCGGUUGCAACAUCUUGGACAUGCUGAACCACCAGGGCUCCUCGACCCACCCCCUCGGCUUCUCAUUCCCCCUUUCCUGGGAAGGGUGCCAAGAGUCCACUAGUCCCAAGACAGCUUUCUGUUCAUGCUCAGAGGAACUCAUGGGCAGGACUCCUGAGGGAGGAGAAAGGAGGAGGGAACUGGAAAGGGGUAUAUAUGCUUGUGCACAGGACUGUGA